GAGUUUGAUCUUGGCUCAGAUUGAACGCUGGCGGCAUGCCUUACACAUGCAAGUCGAACGGCAGCACGGGAGCUUGCUCCUGGUGGCGAGUGGCGAACGGGUGAGUAAUGCAUCGGAACGUAUCCUGGAGUGGGGGAUAACGUAGCGAAAGUUACGCUAAUACCGCAUAUUCUGUGAGCAGGAAAGCGGGGGACCUUCGGGCCUCGCGCUCUUGGAGCGGCCGAUGUCGGAUUAGCUAGUUGGUGAGGUAAAGGCUCACCAAGGCGACGAUCCGUAGCAGGUCUGAGAGGAUGAUCUGCCACACUGGAACUGAGACACGGUCCAGACUCCUACGGGAGGCAGCAGUGGGAAUUUUGGACGAAUGGGGGCAACCCUGAUCCAGCCAUGCCGCGUGAGUGAAGAAGGCCUCGGUU
This 413-nucleotide ribosomal RNA is filed under the name bacterium enrichment culture clone ALO1_GLFRUDD03FQOS7. RNAcentral describes it as "bacterial SSU rRNA". It matches the Rfam family "Bacterial small subunit ribosomal RNA", at positions 9 to 424 of the family's 1533-position model. The record is from RNAcentral.